UGACUGGUUCUGGGCUUGGUGGAUUAUGGU
Molecule: non-coding RNA, 30 nt
Filed under: Mus musculus (house mouse)
Lineage: Eukaryota; Metazoa; Chordata; Mammalia; Rodentia; Muridae
Source: RNAcentral